AUUAAUUUAUUUUGGGUAAUUGCUUGGUAAAAAGAUAGAAAAAUUAAAAGUUGAUUUAAGGGUUUAAACAAUAAAUGUUAGAGAAAAACAUUGAGAACUAAAGCUGAAAUUUCUUAAGGUUUUGAUUAAGCAAUUAGAGGUGAAUAGAGGUCGGGUUUGGCGGAAGUGAACGGUGGCCGGCGAGAGACCGGUCAGGCCGUGGUGGCCUGACCCGUCUGCUCUGUUGAGCAGACCCAAGUCUGCUCAACAAGAGCAGACGUGGUCUGCUCUAUAAGAGCAGACCUGUGUCUGCUCUAAAAGAGCAGACCUGGUCUGCUCAAAAGAGCAGACCGGCUGCUCUUAGGGAGCAGACCAGCUGGUCUGCUCAAUGGGCAGACCAGCCGGUCGCUCCGGAUCCGCGUGCCACCGAAAUUGUUUUUUUAGGGUGUUUUUAUAAAUUAAACCAAUCAAUUUAGUGUGAAAUUAAAAGCUGAAAAUGGAUUUAGAAAGUUUAAUAAAUGAGUUUUGAAAUAGAAGUAAAAUUGAAUUAUGGCAUAGAUUAAAUUGAAGUUUAAAUACUUGAAUAUAAAGUUUAAGCCGGGUUUAAGUGGAUUUAAAUGGCUAAAAGCUGAUAAAAGGAGGCCGAUGCGUUAUUAGACGUUGGAGAUUAAAGUUGUUGGAGAGUUGAUAAAAUAGUAGUAGUUAGCUAAAAUAAUGGGUUAGAAGUUAAACUUAGCUACUAAUUUGAUUGAGGGAUUUGUUAAAUGGUAAGUCAAAUCGGUUAAACAAGUCGUUAAGAAGGCGAGAGUAAAAGAAAUGGACUUAGAACUAAUUCAAGCUUAAAUGCUUGAAUAUAAACGCGAAAUUUUGAAAGUAAGGUAAUAUAUGAAUUAAGACGUUAAUUUAGUAUUUAUUUGUAUUAUAGAUCCUACGCAUAUUUGGGAUUGGAGAAAUAGAGAAUUUGGAGGUUAAACAACGGGCUAUUUUAUUGUGCUUUAUGAAAUUUGGAUUAAGCGAUCGAGUGUUUUCUUUCAGGAUUAAUACUUGAUGAUGUGGUCGAGCUUCCAACCAUUCUUCCGGAAGUCUCAAUUAUGGGGAGUCCUAUUUUUCUUAGAGCUGCAGUAGUCAAGAUAUUAGAGUUAGCUUGUAGCAAACAAUUUACGUUUAUUUUAUGCCAUGACAUAAUGAUGUAUUUUGGGAAAAUGAAUUAUCCAGGAAUUUAUUAUAUGGUUAAUUGGUAUUUUAUACAGAGUGGUUUGUGCGUUUUCACAGGUGUGGUUUAUUAAGUUUACAGGCGUUAUAUUGCCGAUUUUUCGAAAA
Long non-coding RNA from Mercurialis annua (annual mercury), 1299 nucleotides. RefSeq lists it as uncharacterized. The transcript has 2 exons. NCBI's taxonomy places the organism in Eukaryota, Viridiplantae, Streptophyta, Magnoliopsida, Malpighiales, Euphorbiaceae. The record is from RefSeq and is a predicted model, not a curated record.